UACGGAGGGCGCAAGCGUUAUCCGGAAUUAUUGGGCGUAAAGAGCUCGUAGGCGGUUUGUUGCGUCUGCCGUGAAAGUCCGGGGCUCGACUCCGGAUCUGCGGUGGGUACGGGCAGACUAGAGUGAUGUAGGGGAGACUGGAAUUCCUGGUGUAGCGGUGAAAUGCGCAGAUAUCAGGAGGAACACCAAUGGCGAAGGCAGCACUCUGGGACGUGACUGACGCUGAGACGCGAAAGCGUGGGGAGCAAACAGG
This 253-nucleotide ribosomal RNA is filed under the name uncultured bacterium. RNAcentral describes it as "partial 16S ribosomal RNA". It matches the Rfam family "Bacterial small subunit ribosomal RNA", at positions 524 to 776 of the family's 1533-position model. The record is from RNAcentral.